Molecule: unclassified non-coding RNA, 190 nt
Filed under: Staphylococcus aureus
Lineage: Bacteria; Bacillati; Bacillota; Bacilli; Caryophanales; Staphylococcaceae
Also listed under: 2 other names
Description: T-box
Source: RNAcentral
AAUAUUAAUUUGUAUAAUUUAAUUUCGUUUGGAGCUUUUCUACAGAAAGCUAGUGAUGCUGAGAGCUAGUGUUAAGGACUAAAUGUAAAUCGUAUUAAUUUUAAAUUGAAUGAAUGACAUCUCUUACUAUUAAAAUGAGUGCACAAUUUUUGUGAAAUAGGGUGGUAACGCGGCAAAUGUCGUCCCUAUG